RNAcentral lists this ribosomal RNA (450 nucleotides) under uncultured bacterium. Its description in RNAcentral is "partial 16S ribosomal RNA". It matches the Rfam family "Bacterial small subunit ribosomal RNA", at positions 354 to 796 of the family's 1533-position model. The record is from RNAcentral.
GUGAGGAAUAUUGCGCAAUGGGCGAAAGCCUGACGCAGCGACGCCGCGUGGAGGAUGAAGGUCUUCGGAUUGUAAACUUCUGUUAAGUGGGAAGAAAGGGCUGUUUUUAAUAGAAGCAGUUAAUGACGGUACCAUUAAAGAAAGCACCGGCUAAACUCGUGCCAGCAGCCGCGGUAAUACGAGUGGUGCAAGCGUUAUUCGGAAUAAUUGGGCGUACAGGGUGUGUAGGCGGUAUGUUAAGUCUGUUGUUAAAGACUCCGGCCUAACCGGAGACAGGCAGCGGAAACUGGCGUACUAGAGGGUGGAAGAGAGAAGUGGAAUUCUCGGUGUAGCGGUAAAAUGCGUAGAUAUCGAGAGGAACACCGAUGGCGAAGGCAGCUUCUUGGUCCAUACCUGACGCUGAAACACGAAAGCGUGGGGAGCAAACAGGAUUAGAUACCCGAGUAGUCC